UACAGUGGGGUGCAAACGUUGCUACGGAAUUAUUGGGCGUAAAGCGCACGUAGGCGGUUCGUUAAGUCGGAUGUGAAAGCCCUCGGCUCAACUGAGGAAGUGCACCCGAAACUGGCGAGCUUGAGUACGAAAGAGGAUCGCGGAAUUCCCGGUGUAGAGGUGAAAUUCGUAGAUAUCAGGAGGAACACCGGUGGCGAAGGCGGGUCUCUGGGCCGAUACUGACG
RNAcentral lists this ribosomal RNA (224 nucleotides) under uncultured bacterium. RNAcentral describes it as "partial 16S ribosomal RNA". It matches the Rfam family "Bacterial small subunit ribosomal RNA", at positions 524 to 745 of the family's 1533-position model. The record is from RNAcentral.